UUAUUCCUACGGGGCGCAGCAGUGAGGAAUAUUUGUCAAUGGCCGGAAGGCUGAACCAGCCACGUCGCGUGAGGGAAUAAGGCCCUAUGGGUCGUAAACCUCUUUUGUCAGGGAGCAAAGGCGUCCACGUGUGGACGAGAGGAGAGUACCUGAAGAAAAAGCAUCGGCUAACUCCGUGCCAGCAGCCGCGGUAAUACGGAGGAUGCGAGCGUUAUCCGGUUUUAUUGGGUUUAAAGGGUGCGUAGGCGGAGUGUCAAGUCAGCGGUAAAAUUUCGGGGCCCAACCCCGUCGUGCCGUUGAACCUG
RNAcentral lists this ribosomal RNA (305 nucleotides) under uncultured bacterium. Its description in RNAcentral is "bacterial SSU rRNA". It matches the Rfam family "Bacterial small subunit ribosomal RNA", at positions 333 to 635 of the family's 1533-position model. The record is from RNAcentral.